GACGGGUGAGUAACGCGUGGGAAUAUGCACUUUGGUACGGAAUAUCCUCUGGAAAUUGAGAGUAAUACCGUAUGUGUCCUCUGAUCGCGGUGGUUGGAGGAGAAAGAUUUAUCGCCUUAGGAUCUCCCCUUGUUGUAUUCCAUAGUAGGAGGGGCUAUGGCCUAACAUGUUUACUAUCCAUAGCUGGUAUGAGAGGAUGA
RNAcentral lists this ribosomal RNA (200 nucleotides) under bacterium A361. Its description in RNAcentral is "partial 16S ribosomal RNA". It matches the Rfam family "Bacterial small subunit ribosomal RNA", at positions 102 to 303 of the family's 1533-position model. The record is from RNAcentral.